AGUGGUGAGGCCUUGGUUGUGGCACUUUCCUAGCAAGCAUGAGGCACUGGGUUCGAUUCCCAGCACCACAU
RNAcentral lists this transfer RNA (71 nucleotides) under Ictidomys tridecemlineatus (thirteen-lined ground squirrel). Its description in RNAcentral is "Spermophilus tridecemlineatus (thirteen-lined ground squirrel) tRNA". It matches the Rfam family "tRNA". From Rfam's summary of the family: Transfer RNA (tRNA) molecules are approximately 80 nucleotides in length. Their secondary structure includes four short double-helical elements and three loops (D, anti-codon, and T loops). Further hydrogen bonds mediate the characteristic L-shaped molecular structure. tRNAs have two regions of fundamental functional importance: the anti-codon, which is responsible for specific mRNA codon recognition, and the 3' end, to which the tRNAs corresponding amino acid is attached (by aminoacyl-tRNA synthetases). tRNAs cope with the degeneracy of the genetic code in two manners: having more than one tRNA (with a specific anti-codon) for a particular amino acid; and 'wobble' base-pairing, i.e. permitting non-standard base-pairing at the 3rd anti-codon position. The record is from Rfam by way of RNAcentral. Lineage: Eukaryota; Metazoa; Chordata; Mammalia; Rodentia; Sciuridae.